This 497-nucleotide ribosomal RNA is filed under the name uncultured bacterium. Its description in RNAcentral is "partial 16S ribosomal RNA". It matches the Rfam family "Bacterial small subunit ribosomal RNA", at positions 28 to 507 of the family's 1533-position model. The record is from RNAcentral.
GAUGAACGCUGGCGGCGUGCCUAAUACAUGCAAGUCGAGCGAACGGACGAGAAGCUUGCUUCUCUGAUGUUAGCGGCGGACGGGUGAGUAACACGUGGAUAACCUACCUAUAAGACUGGGAUAACUUCGGGAAACCGGAGCUAAUACCGGAUGAUAUUUUGAACCGCAUGGUUCAAAAGUGAAAGACGGUCUUGCUGUCACUUAUAGAUGGAUCCGCGCUGCAUUAGAUAGUUGGUAAGGUAACGGGUUACCAAGGCAACGAUGCCUAGCCGACCUGCGAGGGUGAUCGGCCACACUGGAACUGAGACACGGUCCAGACUCCUACGGGAGGCAGCAGUAGGGAAUCGUCCGCAAUGGGCGAAAGCCUGACGGAGCAACGCCGCGUGAGUGAUGACGGUCUUCGGAUCGUAAAACUCUGUUAUUAGGGAAGAACAUAUGUGUAAGUAACUGUGCACAUCUUGACGGUACCUAAUCAGAAAGCCACGGCUAACUACGUG